CCAACUUGAAUGCUUCCUGAUUAAAUAUAUACAGGAGUGAUUUCAGAGGAAUUUAAGUUUUGGAUCAUUCUUUUGAGAAAGAAAGAAAAGUACCCUUUUAAAAGAGGUGGCUCUUGAACAACACAGGUUUGAACUGCAUCAUUCCACUUAUACACAGACUUUCUUCUGCCACUGCCACUCCUGAGACAACAUGACCAAUCUCUCCCCUUCCUCCUCCUCAGCGUACUUUCAACAUAAAGACGACGAGGAUAAAGGCAUUUAUGAUGAACUACUUCCACAUAAUGAAUAAUUGAACAAAGGAGAGAAUUGUGAGAGUGAGAAAAAGUGAGACAAAGAAGAAAAACUAUAAAUCAGCAAAAUACAGUGCCAAGAGCUCUGGACCACAAAUCAGAAGACCUGAGCCCUAAUUCCUUUCCAGUCAUUGGAUUUGUUCGUCGCUUGCCAAAACAGCAGCGAACUCUCUGUCAAACUGCAACUCAUUUUAUCGGAGCAAAAACUGAACAAAGAACUGCUAUCAUUUCUGAGGUCAGAGGCAGUGCAGCUUGUGUUACAACUCAAAAGAGUAAUACUCUGAAAAAAGAAAAAAAAAGAUGGCGCUGAAAAUAAACAUGUUCAGCAGCCAUUGUGAUUCAACUUACCCAGAUGUGCUUUUCAUGAGAUGGAGAAGGACGGAUGGAAAAGAAAAGCACACAAAUGUUAAUGGAUACAGUUCAAUCCAAAGAAAACCAUGGAAUAAAACAAGAGCAUUAUUUAAGAUGUGA
RNAcentral lists this long non-coding RNA (761 nucleotides) under Pan troglodytes (chimpanzee). RNAcentral describes it as "lincRNA". The record is from RNAcentral. Lineage: Eukaryota; Metazoa; Chordata; Mammalia; Primates; Hominidae.